ACUCCUACGGGAGGCAGCAGUAGGGAAUCUUCCACAAUGGGCGCAAGCCUGAUGGAGCAACACCGCGUGAGUGAAGAAGGGUUUCGGCUCGUAAAGCUCUGUUGUUAAAGAAGAACACGUAUGAGAGUAACUGUUCAUACGUUGACGGUAUUUAACCAGAAAGUCACGGCUAACUACGUGCCAGCAGCCGUGGUAAUACGUAGGUGGCAAGCGUUAUCCGGAUUUAUUGGGCGUAAAGAGAGUGCAGGCGGUUUUCUAAGUCUGAUGUGAAAGCCUUCGGCUUAACCGGAGAAGUGCAUCGGAAACUGGAUAACUUGAGUGCAGAAGAGGGUAGUGGAACUCCAUGUGUAGCGGUGGAAUGCGUAGAUAUAUGGAAGAACACCAGUGGCGAAGGCGGCUACCUGGUCUGCAACUGACGCUGAGACUCGAAAGCAUGGGUAGCGAACAGGAUUAGAUACCCUGGUAGGAUAGCG
RNAcentral lists this ribosomal RNA (473 nucleotides) under uncultured bacterium. RNAcentral describes it as "bacterial SSU rRNA". It matches the Rfam family "Bacterial small subunit ribosomal RNA", at positions 335 to 801 of the family's 1533-position model. The record is from RNAcentral.